RNAcentral lists this ribosomal RNA (1316 nucleotides) under metagenome. Its description in RNAcentral is "SSU rRNA". It matches the Rfam family "Eukaryotic small subunit ribosomal RNA", at positions 5 to 1307 of the family's 1831-position model. The record is from RNAcentral.
UGGUUGACCCUGCCAGUAGUCAUAUGCUUGUCUGAAAGAUUAAGCCAUGCAUGUCUAAGUAUAAACAAUCUUAUACUGUGAAACUGCGGACGGCUCAUUAAAUCAGUUAUAGUUUACUUGAUCAUAUUUCUUACUUGGAUAACCGUAGUAAUUCUAGAGCUAAUACAUGCAAAAAAUCCUUUAUUCUCGCAGUAAAGGAUGAAUUUAUUAGAUUAGAACCAGCGCAAAGUCCUAGACUUUGAGUUAUGGUGAUUCAUAAUAACUAAUCGAAUCGCAGAGACUUUUAGUCGGCGAUGAUACAUACAAAUUUCUGCCCUACCAACUUUCGAUGGUAGUAUAGAGGACUACCAUGGUUAUAACGGGUAACGGGGAAUUAGGGUUCGAUUCCGGAGAGGGGGCCUGAGAGAUGGCCACCACUUCCAAGGAAGGCAGCAGGCGCGCAAAUUACCCAAUCCCAAUUCGGGGAGGUAGUGACAAGAAAUACCAGUACAGGGCCCUAUGGGUACUGUGAUUGGAAUGAAUACAAUUUAAAAACCUUAAUGAGGAACGAUUGGAGGGCAAGUCUGGUGCCAGCAGCCGCGGUAAUUCCAGCUCCAAUAGUGUAUAUUAAAGUUGCUGCAGUUAAAAAGCUCGUAGUUGGAUUUCGGUAAGUAAAAAUUUAACAUCCAUCUCUAAGAUGUGAUUUAAUUUUUAUUUCCUUCCUUUUGAAUACACUCCCUAAAAUUUAUUUUAGGGACUCAGUGUUUCAAAUCGUUUACUGUGAAGAAAUUAGAGUGUUCAAAGCAGGCGUAACCUAGCCUUUGAAUAUAUUAGCAUGGGAUAAUGAAAUAGGACUUUAGUCCUACUUUCGUUGGUUUCUAGGGCUGAAGUAAUGAUUAAUAGGGAUAGUUGGGGUCACUAGUAUUUAAUUGUCAGAGGUGAAAUUCUAAGAUUUAUUAAAGACUAACUACUGCGAAAGCAUUUGACAAGGAUGUUUUCAUUAAUCAAGAACGAAAGUUGGGGGAUCGAAGAUGAUCAGAUACCGUCGUAGUCUCAACCAUAAACUAUGCCGACCAAGGAUCCGGGGUUGUUAAUAUGGAUGACUCUCCGGGCACUUAUAGAGAAAUCAUAAGUAUUUGGGCUCCGGGGGGAGUAUGGUCGCAAGGCUGAAACUUAAAGGAAUUGACGGAAGGGCACCACAAGGAGUGGAACCUGCGGUUUAAUUUGACCCAACACGGGGAAACUUACCAGGUCCAGACACAGUGAGGAUUGACAGAUUGAGAGUUCUUUCUUGAUUCUGUGAGUGGUGGUGCAUGGCCGUUUCUAGUUGGUGGAGU